This is a non-coding RNA of Pelobates cultripes (western spadefoot toad), 448 nucleotides long. NCBI's taxonomy places the organism in Eukaryota, Metazoa, Chordata, Amphibia, Anura, Pelobatidae. The record is from the annotation of a GenBank genome assembly.
AAAAAGAGUGUGCAGAUUUUGAUAAAUUUAGGUUCAGGGUGUCAGGGCCACCCGAUAGAUAUGGAUUGUAAGGGGGCCCGGUCAGCGCUGGGCGCUUCAACAGCGCGACCGGACCCCCUUUGAUUACAUCACAUGCUGGGAGGAAGUGAUGGCAUGUCACUCCUCCCAGCUAUUACUGAGAGCCCGCGUGGGAGGAAGACCAGGGAGUCAGAGUGGGAACUCUGACUCCCAUCCACCUGAGCCACCACUGGACCCCAGUCACCCUCCUGCACCUAAAAGGUAGGAAACAGGAGGGUGACUUAAAUAUUGUGUGUGUGUGUUUGUAUGUGUGCCUGUCUGUGUAUGAAUGUGUGUGUAUGUCUGCCUGUAUGUGUGUGCUUGUCUGUAUGUAUGUGUGUGUCGGUCUGUAUUUAUGUGUGUGACUGUCUAUGUAUAUGUGUGUGUCUGU